This 301-nucleotide ribosomal RNA is filed under the name uncultured bacterium. RNAcentral describes it as "partial 16S ribosomal RNA". It matches the Rfam family "Bacterial small subunit ribosomal RNA", at positions 509 to 808 of the family's 1533-position model. The record is from RNAcentral.
CAGUCCCACGGGAACACGUAGGGUGCAAGCGUUAAUCGGAAUUACUGGGCGUAAAGCGUGCGCAGGCGGUUAUAUAAGACAGAUGUGAAAUCCCCGGGCUCAACCUGGGAACUGCAUUUGUGACUGUAUAGCUAGAGUACGGCAGAGGGGGAUGGAAUUCCGCGUGUAGCAGUGAAAUGCGUAGAUAUGCGGAGGAACACCGAUGGCGAAGGCAAUCCCCUGGGCCUGUACUGACGCUCAUGCACGAAAGCGUGGGGAGCAAACAGGAUUAGAUACCCCAGUAGUCCCUGUCUCUUAUACA